GGCUCAGAACGAACGCUGGCGGCGUGCCUAAGACAUGCAAGUCGUGCGCGAAAGGGACUUCGGUCCCGAGUAGAGCGGCAUACGGGUGAGUAACGCGUGGGCAACCUGCCUCGAGGUCUGGGAUAACCCGGGGAAACCUGGGCUAAUACCGGAUGAGCCCACGAGGUCCUUGGACCUCGCGGGAAAAGAUGGCCUCUGCUUGCAAGCUAUCACCACGAGAUGGGCCCGCGUCCCAUUAGCUAGUUGGCGAGGUAACGGCUCACCAAGGCUCCGAUGGGUAGCUGGUCUGAGAGGACGAUCAGCCACACUGGGACUGAGACACGGCCCAGACUCCUACGGGAGGCAGCAGUCGGGAAUCUUGGGCAAUGGGCGCAAGCCUGACCCAGCGACGCCGCGUGAGGGAUGAAGGCCUUCGGGUCGUAAACCUCUGUCAGGAGGGAAGAACGGCCGCGAGGUGAACAAUCUCGUGGUCUGACGGUACCUCCGAAGGAAGCGCCGGCUAACUCCGUGCCAGCAGCCGCGGUAA
This 526-nucleotide ribosomal RNA is filed under the name uncultured delta proteobacterium. RNAcentral describes it as "bacterial SSU rRNA". It matches the Rfam family "Bacterial small subunit ribosomal RNA", at positions 21 to 523 of the family's 1533-position model. Lineage: Bacteria; Deltaproteobacteria. The record is from RNAcentral.